RNAcentral lists this ribosomal RNA (159 nucleotides) under Glomerales sp. Its description in RNAcentral is "partial large subunit ribosomal RNA". It matches the Rfam family "Eukaryotic large subunit ribosomal RNA", at positions 99 to 255 of the family's 3401-position model. Lineage: Eukaryota; Fungi; Glomeromycota; Glomeromycetes; Glomerales; Glomeraceae. The record is from RNAcentral.
GGGGAAGAGCUCAAAUUUUAAAUCUACCAGGUUUACCUGGUCGAGUUGUAAUUUGAAGAAGCGUUUUUCGCGUCUCGGUUGGUCCAAAUCCUUUGGGAUAAGGUAUCAUGGAGGGUGAGAAUCCCGUUCGGCCGACCUUGUGACGUUUUACGAUACGCU